UUUUUAAGAAACUAUCACAUACUAAGAAAAAAAAUUUUAAUUAUUCCUGAGUCGAUCAUAUUCUUUAAAUCAUUUUAGCAAUCAUAUCUUUAAUACACUUAUCACAUGUUCCUACUUUAUUUAGAAAUUAUCAUCUUAAAGCAGAUAAACUGUGAUCUGAAUUCGAUAAAGCAUUUUUGCCAAUCAAAAUUAAUGGAAUUCUAACAAUAACUUGCAUAUUGCAAACACUAAUAAAACAGAAGAUUCCUUCUCAUGAGAACAUUUUUGGAAGUAGACAGAUUACAAUAACUAUAAAUAUAUAUACAAUGUAAGAAUGACUAUUUAGGUUGGCUGCAGCAAUUAACAUUAAUCCACAUUAUGCAUAAAACAGCAAAACUAACGAUUAUACAGAAAGCAGAAUGUUAUAUGAUCAAUUGAAAUUGUGUAAAUACUUUGAAGUACAAUAACUUAUAAACUAUGAAGAUUUGCCUAAGAAGUCAUAAGGGUAGUAUACACUUAUUUUGGGUCAAAGAAGAACCAAUUUCGAUUCUUGAAAUGCCACCUCAAGCCACUGCACUCUAAGUUAAAUGAAGUUGUCAAUACUUACUUUGUCCUUUUAUAUAUUUAGAAUAUAUUUUCCUCCCAUAUCAGCUAAAACUUUAAUAGCAACAAUUACUUGUAAUCUGACAAGAUUCUGUCCCUGAAUCUUACGAUCAUUAAUCAUCUUAAAUUAUGCAAACAAACCUAAGAAAAAUGUUGUGUUGCAGUAAUAAAAAGACUAUGUAUUGUGGUAGAAGUAUGGAGCGGGGAGGGGAAGCCAUGUAGGCCAACGGGGCGAGAAAGCUAAAGCAUGAGGAGCAGAUCACGGGGGGUGCGAGGGGGAGGUGAAUGAUUGCCACCACGUAUGCGUCUUCAACCUAAAUUGCUAGAUUUUACAAUAAUGCAUCUGGUUCACAAUUCACGUUACCACAGCACAUGUUAAUAUGUGUGAAAUGUGAAAGCCCCCAUUGCCUACAAGGCACACUUUUUUUUCACAUUUCACAUACACCACAACACAUAGUCUAAUAAUAAUACACACGCUUCGGUGUAAUCUCACAAGUCAUGAAGCCAAUAGCUUAAAUUGUUUUCUAAAACAGUAAAACCACAGAAACAUUGAUCAUGAAAUCAAAAUUUCUAUCUGAUUGUACUUGACUCACAUCAAUCUCAUUAUCGUUCAGAAUUUCAAAAAGUCUGAAUUAGAUAACUUAUUUCAUUCCUUUUACUUAGCACCUCAUGAAACUAGCACUUCCAAAUGAACAGACAAGCACAGAUGGUUAUGGAACCCUAACUAUGGCUGUGCUAAUAAUAAACUCAGAAUAACAAGGCACUAUAUGAAAAUUUAUAAAUCCAGAACAUGUAUAUAUACACUCCUCCAUUCCAGAAUCAAAAGUCUACUAUCCGAAUACCUAAUUUUGCGACUGAUAACUUAUCAAAAAUAGCCUUCAGCAUAGUUUCAAUGUUGAUAAUAACUCGUUAACUUGUAGAAACACCGAAUAAAAGUGAAACAUUAAAGACGAAGAGGAACUGAUUCUAACCUUUAACCGCCGAUUGCAGCCGGUGAAAGACUGGAAAACCUAAAAGGCGUUCGACGACACUUCCUUUUGUUGCAGAUGAAAAGGCAAAUUCGAAUGGUUUUCUCACUUUUUUGCAGCAAACGAAAAGGUUUUGAGUUGUAAUCUCAGAAGCAAAUUUUAGCGGUUAAUUUUGUGAUUAAAAAAAUUGUAAAAUUUAAAAAUUAUGCGUUUGCCGGGAGUCGAACCCGGGUCUAUUGCUUGGAAGGCAAUUAUCCUAACCGUUGGACUACAAACGCUGCUGUUAUGA
Molecule: transfer RNA, 1839 nt
Filed under: Helianthus annuus (common sunflower)
Lineage: Eukaryota; Viridiplantae; Streptophyta; Magnoliopsida; Asterales; Asteraceae
Description: hypothetical non coding rna
Source: RNAcentral